Non-coding RNA from Coniochaeta pulveracea, 117 nucleotides. Lineage: Eukaryota; Fungi; Ascomycota; Sordariomycetes; Coniochaetales; Coniochaetaceae. The record is from the annotation of a GenBank genome assembly.
GCCCACUUGGCUCAGUGGUAGAGCGUGUCAAGACUGCCGUCCCCUAAGAAUACCUUCCCGUAUCCCUAGAACAGCACCUCUAUGGCAAGAUCAUCAGUUCGAAUCUGACAGUGGGUA